ACGGCAAUAGCUCAAUUGGCAGAGCAUCGGUCUCCAAAACCGAAGGUUGGGGGUUCAAGUCCCUCUUGCCGUGCGA
This 76-nucleotide transfer RNA is filed under the name Enemella dayhoffiae. RNAcentral's name for it is "Propionibacteriaceae bacterium NML 130396 tRNA-Trp". It matches the Rfam family "tRNA". From Rfam's summary of the family: Transfer RNA (tRNA) molecules are approximately 80 nucleotides in length. Their secondary structure includes four short double-helical elements and three loops (D, anti-codon, and T loops). Lineage: Bacteria; Bacillati; Actinomycetota; Actinomycetes; Propionibacteriales; Propionibacteriaceae. The record is from RNAcentral.